GCGAGACAGGUGGUCCGGCAAACGGUGGCGACCGAUAAACUGCACACUCGGAACGUGAUCGGGCGCAGCCCCCGGUGUGGUUCCGCCAAAUGAUCAGCCAGCAGCCGCUGCAACCCCAGGGAG
This 123-nucleotide small RNA is filed under the name Streptomyces roseus. Its description in RNAcentral is "Streptomyces-metK RNA". It matches the Rfam family "Streptomyces-metK RNA". The record is from Rfam by way of RNAcentral. Lineage: Bacteria; Bacillati; Actinomycetota; Actinomycetes; Kitasatosporales; Streptomycetaceae.